RNAcentral lists this non-coding RNA (242 nucleotides) under Pseudoflavonifractor capillosus. RNAcentral's name for it is "Bacteroides capillosus T-box sequence". It matches the Rfam family "T-box leader". From Rfam's summary of the family: Uncharged tRNA acts as the effector for transcription antitermination of genes in the T-box leader family. Lineage: Bacteria; Bacillati; Bacillota; Clostridia; Eubacteriales; Oscillospiraceae. The record is from RNAcentral.
GCCAUCGCGAUGAUGAGGAGAAGUACCCGGUCUGCCGCCAUUCAGAGAGCCCCCGUUUUGGUGCGAGGGGGAGGGCGGCUCUGGUGAAAUACACCUCGGAGCAGCCGCCUGAACGCAAAAUGCUAUUAGGGCUGUGUCGGGUGCGCCCGUUACCGCGCCGGAGUGUGUUGGCACUCCAUGAGGCCGUCUCUGUGAGGAGACGGUGAACCAGAGGUGGUACCGCGUAGUAUUACGCCCUCUGU